CAGCCGCCGCGGUAACACGUAGGGGGCGAGCGUUGUCCGGAAUUACUGGGCGUAAAGGGCGUGUAGGCGGCCGAGCAAGUCAAGUGUGAAAAGCCCCGGCUUAACCGAGGCAUUGCACAUGAAACUGUUUGGCUUGAGUGCAGGAGAGGGAAGUGGAAUUCCUAGUGUAGCGGUGAAAUGCGUAGAUAUUAGGAGGAACACCAGUGGCGAAGGCGACUUCCUGGACUGUAACUGACGCUGAGGCGCGAAAGCGUGGGUAGCAAACAGGAUUAGAUACCCUGGUAGUCCACGCCGUAAACGAUGGGUACUAGGUGUGGGUAGUUCACUCUAUCCGUGCCGCAGCAAACGCAAUAAGUACCCCGCCUGGGGAGUACGGCCGCAAGGUUGAAACUCAAAGGAAUUGACGGGGGCCCGCACAAGCAGCGGAGCAUGUGGUUUAAUUCGAAGCAACGCGAAGAACCUUACCAGGGCUUGACAUCCACAGUAGGCUGUAGAGAUACGGCUGUGCCCCUUUGGGGAACUGUGAGACAGGUGGUGCAUGGCC
This 544-nucleotide ribosomal RNA is filed under the name uncultured archaeon. RNAcentral's name for it is "bacterial SSU rRNA". It matches the Rfam family "Bacterial small subunit ribosomal RNA", at positions 509 to 1050 of the family's 1533-position model. The record is from RNAcentral.